CGUGAAAUUGUUGAAAGGGAAACGAUUGAAGCCAGUCGUACCUACGGGUAAUCAGCCUUUCGGAAGCGAUUCUGUGGGUUUUGAGGAGCUUCACGGCCCUCAUGGUCUACAUAUUUGUAUCCCUUGGGUGUACUUUCCCGGUGGUUGGUUAACAUCAAUUUCGGUCAUCAUAAAAUGACGGGAGGAAUGUAGCUUCGAUCUCGGUUGAAGUGUGUUAUAGCCUCUGGUAGAUGUGAUGAUCGGGAUUGAGG
Molecule: ribosomal RNA, 251 nt
Filed under: Glomeraceae sp.
Lineage: Eukaryota; Fungi; Glomeromycota; Glomeromycetes; Glomerales; Glomeraceae
Description: partial large subunit ribosomal RNA
Source: RNAcentral